Molecule: ribosomal RNA, 1511 nt
Filed under: Staphylococcus aureus
Lineage: Bacteria; Bacillati; Bacillota; Bacilli; Caryophanales; Staphylococcaceae
Description: partial 16S ribosomal RNA
Rfam family: Bacterial small subunit ribosomal RNA
Source: RNAcentral
UUUGACUCUGGCUAGGAUGAACGCUGGCGGCGUGCCUAAUACAUGCAAGUCGAGCGAACGGACGAGAAGCUUGCUUCUCUGAUGUUAGCGGCGGACGGGUGAGUAACACGUGGAUAACCUACCUAUAAGACUGGGAUAACUUCGGGAAACCGGAGCUAAUACCGGAUAAUAUUUUGAACCGCAUGGUUCAAAAGUGAAAGACGGUCUUGCUGUCACUUAUAGAUGGAUCCGCGCUGCAUUAGCUAGUUGGUAAGGUAACGGCUUACCAAGGCAACGAUGCAUAGCCGACCUGAGAGGGUGAUCGGCCACACUGGAACUGAGACACGGUCCAGACUCCUACGGGAGGCAGCAGUAGGGAAUCUUCCGCAAUGGGCGAAAGCCUGACGGAGCAACGCCGCGUGAGUGAUGAAGGUCUUCGGAUCGUAAAACUCUGUUAUUAGGGAAGAACAUAUGUGUAAGUAACUGUGCACAUCUUGACGGUACCUAAUCAGAAAGCCACGGCUAACUACGUGCCAGCAGCCGCGGUAAUACGUAGGUGGCAAGCGUUAUCCGGAAUUAUUGGGCGUAAAGCGCGCGUAGGCGGUUUUUUAAGUCUGAUGUGAAAGCCCACGGCUCAACCGUGGAGGGUCAUUGGAAACUGGAAAACUUGAGUGCAGAAGAGGAAAGUGGAAUUCCAUGUGUAGCGGUGAAAUGCGCAGAGAUAUGGAGGAACACCAGUGGCGAAGGCGACUUUCUGGUCUGUAACUGACGCUGAUGUGCGAAAGCGUGGGGAUCAAACAGGAUUAGAUACCCUGGUAGUCCACGCCGUAAACGAUGAGUGCUAAGUGUUAGGGGGUUUCCGCCCCUUAGUGCUGCAGCUAACGCAUUAAGCACUCCGCCUGGGGAGUACGACCGCAAGGUUGAAACUCAAAGGAAUUGACGGGGACCCGCACAAGCGGUGGAGCAUGUGGUUUAAUUCGAAGCAACGCGAAGAACCUUACCAAAUCUUGACAUCCUUUGACAACUCUAGAGAUAGAGCUUUCCCCUUCGGGGGACAAAGUGACAGGUGGUGCAUGGUUGUCGUCAGCUCGUGUCGUGAGAUGUUGGGUUAAGUCCCGCAACGAGCGCAACCCUUAAGCUUAGUUGCCAUCAUUAAGUUGGGCACUCUAAGUUGACUGCCGGUGACAAACCGGAGGAAGGUGGGGAUGACGUCAAAUCAUCAUGCCCCUUAUGAUUUGGGCUACACACGUGCUACAAUGGACAAUACAAAGGGCAGCGAAACCGCGAGGUCAAGCAAAUCCCAUAAAGUUGUUCUCAGUUCGGAUUGUAGUCUGCAACUCGACUACAUGAAGCUGGAAUCGCUAGUAAUCGUAGAUCAGCAUGCUACGGUGAAUACGUUCCCGGGUCUUGUACACACCGCCCGUCACACCACGAGAGUUUGUAACACCCGAAGCCGGUGGAGUAACCUUUUAGGAGCUAGCCGUCGAAGGUGGGACAAAUGAUUGGGGUGAAGUCGUAACAAGGGUAAGCAA